This 240-nucleotide ribosomal RNA is filed under the name Burkholderia sp. 9773_38. RNAcentral describes it as "partial 23S ribosomal RNA". It matches the Rfam family "Bacterial large subunit ribosomal RNA", at positions 2697 to 2925 of the family's 2925-position model. Lineage: Bacteria; Pseudomonadati; Pseudomonadota; Betaproteobacteria; Burkholderiales; Burkholderiaceae. The record is from RNAcentral.
GUGGACGAACCUCUGGUGUACCGGUUGUCACGCCAGUGGCAUCGCCGGGUAGCUAUGUUCGGAAGAGAUAACCGCUGAAAGCAUCUAAGCGGGAAACUCGCCUUAAGAUGAGAUAUCCCUGGAGGCUAGACCUCCUUGAAGGGUCGUUCGAGACCAGGACGUUGAUAGGUCAGGUGUGUAAGCGCAGUAAUGCGUUCAGCUAACUGAUACUAAUUGCCCGUAAGGCUUGAUCCUAUAACA